This 2700-nucleotide long non-coding RNA is filed under the name Homo sapiens (human). Its description in RNAcentral is "non-protein coding lnc-AHNAK-1:6". Lineage: Eukaryota; Metazoa; Chordata; Mammalia; Primates; Hominidae. The record is from RNAcentral.
AUACACAACGGCAGCUUUCCUACUGAUCAAUUAGUCCAGGCACAUUGACACAAGCCCCUGGAUUUUGCAACGUGAUGGCGGUGUUUGACAACUACCAUUCUGCUUUAGCUUUCCUCCAGAAUACCUGCCUUGCAUUGGCCCUGGGUAAAUGUUUCCCUUGGCUGUGAAUAGGCAAUUAAAAUUCUGAACCUUUUAUGGCUCUGGAAGCUUAUCCGAUGAAACAAUACUCAUCCAGGCGGAUGGCCCACCAGCGCAAAGGGCUGAAAAGUUCCAUGGCAGCCUCAUAACUGGAGGGUGUGUCCAUGAGGAGGGUUUCGAUGACACGCUGAAAGCUCGGGCAGAUCUCUGCAGAAGCUGCAACACAGAGGAGAGAAGGCACAUGUCUCCAGGCCCCUUUCCAAGCUGGCUAGCCCUCUGGCUGGGUCUGCCCAGAUGCAAACAGCCAGGCCCAUCAGCGAGAGAUAGCAGCCUUUUCAUCGAUGGACUAGAGUGUAAGAUUUGUGGAUUGCCCGAGUCUUCCUUAGACUUCUUGGGUUGAGGUGAGCAAGGUGCCGUUUUUCUUUCUGUUGGAGAUCAAGGCAGAGUAUUGAUCAUAGAAGCUGCUGGCCUGAUUUUUUAAUGCAGUGUGGAGGCUGGGAAGAGGCCACUGAGGGUUUUAUUUCCCACCAGAAACUUGCCUCUCAUCAGUGGUUAGAGAUGCCCUGAGCCAUGCUUCACUGGGGGCAUGUGACAAAUUCAGGCUCUGGCAGGAAAAAGCGAUUGUAAGCCAGGCACGGUGGCUCACACCUGUAAUCCCAGCACUUUGGGAGGCCGAGGCAGGCAGAUCACGAGGUCAGGAGUUCGAGACCAGCCUGGCCAACAUGGUGAAACCCCGUCUCUACUAAAAAUACAAAAAAUUAGCCGGGCGUGGUUCUGGGCACCCGUAAUCCUAGCUACUCAGGAGGCUGAGGCAGGAGAAUCACUUGAAUCCAGGAAGCAGAAGUUGCAGUGAGCUGAGAUCUCGUCACUGCACUCCAGCCUGGGCAACAGAGCGAGAUUCUGUCUCAAAAAGCAAGCAAGCAAGCAAGCAAGCAAGCAAGCAAGAGAAAAGAAAAAGAAGAAAAGAAAAGAAAAGAAAAGAAGCCAUUGAGAUUGUACCAGCCAAACAUGGGCCCCCGAACCUGGCCGGGAAGAGGUGUGCACAUGUGCACAGCGGGCCCUGUGGCACACUCAGCUCAUGGACAGAGCAGCCACUUGUACCACUUCAUUCCCUUCAACACAGAGCUUCCAGACUCUGUUUUCUUCUCAGGUCCUUACAACCAGGAACAUGGGGGAAAGUCACCAUUUUCUACCCACUGCUUGCCUCCAUCUUCCCAGGCUGAGGCCGCUGUAAGCCAAGGUACGCAACGCUUGCUAAACAGGAAUCCCUGGAAUGAAUCCAUGCAUGAGGCCUUUGUGCCAUGUGACAGUUGAAGGCUGUGGUGACCCCGGAACCGUCCCACUCCGAGACGCCUUAACACCGUUUUUCUGCUGUUACAAACCACAGAGCAACGCGUGUGCCUCCUCCCGCCCUGGGGACUCUUUCUGUGGGAGAGGUGCCUGGAUUUAGAGGAGCGACCACUCUUCAUUUGAUCUUGGUCACUUUCCCAGUUGUCACUCGGCCCACAAACUAGGAUGUGAGCAGCAUAUUAAGAAUCUGCAGAGAUGUUCCCGUCUGCCCGGCAUAUGGAUGUCCUUCUGGGCUGCAAAGUGGCAUCCUGUGGGCAACUCCCCCCACAACAACCAGCUGUGAGCUGUGCCCAGGCACAGAGGGACCUGGCUUUCCCUGUUUCUGCAGAUGGAGCCCAGGGUUUCAGGGAGGGAGGGGGCAGGCUGGGACCUGUUGGGGAUCUGGGCACUUUCUCAUGCUCCUUGAGCUGCAAGUCAUAGAAGGAGUGGGGUGGGAGCUGGGAAUGUACCUUCCCAAGGCCACUGGCAGAACCAGCAGGCCCUUUGCUCUGGGAUGAGCUCCCUCUGAGGGGUGGGGACAGUAAAGCGGACCGAAGUCCCUGUUCUGCGGGAUGGAAACUGGCUCCCCUCCAUUGUACAGGCCAGCUCUGGGGAUUUGGGCAGCAGAUUUGGGGUUGACAGCAGAAUGACAUGAUCACCAGUUGACCUUGGCCAGGAUGCCAGCUUACUUUCUCGCUUACUUCUGCAGGUUCUUUGUUCUGCGGGUGAGUCACCCAGGUCCUGCCCUCCGUGCCUGUCUGCCCUCUCCCACUUUCCCUGCCCUGAGCUUGUUCCCACUUGUAGAUUUGGCAGGUCACUGCCAAGGCCCCUAUUCCCCCAACAUGGCCAGUGCCCUAAGGGUGGGUUGUACAGGGAGGAGCUGGCGUGGUCAGUAGACUUGAAUCAGGGACAACUCGGCUGCUGAAGGCUGAGGGGGCCUUGCAGGGCUGCAGGUGCCUUGUGCACACAGGGAGUGGGUAGAGAAGGCAACCAGGGGCUCCUUCAGGCCUUAAUGCUCUGCAGCCCAGUGAGGCUGUGCCCAGAGAGUCUGGCGAGGCCCUGGUCUGCUCCCCCAGCCAAUGGCCUGAUGCUGUUCCAUCUGGGCACCCUGUCACUUUUCGUUCAUCAGGGAGUACAGGGUGAUUCAGGGUCUCAAAUGCAGGUGUUCACAAAAUGAAAUAGAACUUCCCUCUAUCCCCGUGCUUCUUUUUAUUUUUAUAACAAAUAUACAUC